This 468-nucleotide ribosomal RNA is filed under the name uncultured bacterium. RNAcentral's name for it is "partial 16S ribosomal RNA". It matches the Rfam family "Bacterial small subunit ribosomal RNA", at positions 28 to 507 of the family's 1533-position model. The record is from RNAcentral.
GACGAACGCUGGCGGCGUGCUUAACACAUGCAAGUCGAACGGAAAGGCCCUGCUUUUGUGGGGUGCUCGAGUGGCGAACGGGUGAGUAACACGUGAGUAACCUGCCCUUGACUUUGGGAUAACUUCAGGAAACUGGGGCUAAUACCGGAUAGGAGCUCCUGCUGCAGGGUGGGGGUUGGAAAGUUUCGGCGGUUGGGGAUGGACUCGCGGCUUAUCAGCUUGUUGGUGGGGUAGUGGCUUACCAAGGCUUUGACGGGUAGCCGGCCUGAGAGGGUGACCGGCCACAAUGGUACUGAGAUACGGCCCAGACUCCUACGGGAGGCAGCAGUGGCAAAUAUGACACAAUGGGCGCAAGCCUGAUGCAGCAACGCCGCGUGCGGAAUGACGGCCUUCGGGUUGUAAACCGCUUUCGCCUGUGACGAAGCGGGAGUGACGGUAAUGAGUAAAGAAGCACCGGCUAACUACGUG